RNAcentral lists this long non-coding RNA (398 nucleotides) under Musa acuminata (dwarf banana). Its description in RNAcentral is "long non-coding RNA (MACU_LNC003758)". The record is from RNAcentral. Lineage: Eukaryota; Viridiplantae; Streptophyta; Magnoliopsida; Zingiberales; Musaceae.
GGAGCCUCUGCAGCAAAGUAUCCAUCAGCACCAUUCUGCCAUGCGAUAUAACAGCAUUCCUUGCUCUUAUUUGCUGGUGACUCAGGCCGUUCCUCCACGGAGAUCAGUGGAUUCCCUCCUGCUUUCAUGUAAUUCGGUGAAGAACAGGUGCUUUUCUCAUGUUGCUUUUGCUUUGGUGUAAAAGGUUUCAUAGGAAUCAUGAUGAUCUCUGGGUUAAAACUUCUGAUAGGAUGUGAUGGGGAAGUCUUGCAGGAAGUGAAGAAGAAAUUAUAUUCAUCACCAUCAACAUAAUUACGUAGAGCAAGGGAGACUCGCAUCAGAGACUGGAUGUAGGCAGUGUGGCCAUCAGCAAAUCGGUCUCUCUGCUCGAUAGCUUGUCUGAUGAAGUUCUUCCUGUC